Molecule: unclassified non-coding RNA, 329 nt
Filed under: soil metagenome
Description: partial contains 5.8S ribosomal RNA, internal transcribed spacer 2, and large subunit ribosomal RNA
Rfam family: 5.8S ribosomal RNA (bases 1-120)
Source: RNAcentral
GUUGAAGAACGUAGCGAAAUGCGAUAAGUAAUGUGAAUUGCAGAAUUCAGUGAAUCAUCGAAUCUUUGAACGCACAUUGCGCCCUCUGGUAUUCCGGGGGGCAUGCCUGUUCGAGCGUCAUUAUAACCACUCAAGCUCUCGCUUGGUAUUGGAGUUCGCGAUCUCGCGGCUCCUAAAAUCAGUGGCGGUGCCUGUCGGCUCUACGCGUAGUAAUACUCCUCGCGAUUGAGUCCGGUAGGUUUACUUGCCAGCAACCCCCAAUUUUUACAGGUUGACCUCGGAUCAGGUAGGGAUACCCGCUGAACUUAAGCAUAUCAAUAAGCGGAGGA